ACCACCCUAACUCCACCAAUAUGGCAGGUUAAAAUUUUGGGAAAAUCAUCUCCAAUAUAAACCCUUUCAAACAGCGUAUAUCAAUUUUUUCUGUUUGGGGGCAGUUUUUUUAUGCAUACCCUUUAUUUUCGAGUCUUAAGGUGAUUUGCAAUCAAAUAAUAAAUUUGCGAUUUGCAUAAAAUAUUUAGAAAGCAUAGCAAAGCAUAGAAAGUAGACAUAGUAAAAUGCUGUUUUUUUCUGGCGAGCCUUUGAAUAUAUGCGCGGUUCUAAGUUUUUACGCAUUAAAUUUUUCAUCUAUUAGGCACUUUAUGGAAAAUACGCCAUGGGUAAAUAUGCUUUAUUUUGUAUAUAAAAUGCAUGAUUUUACCCAUGUAAUAUAUAUGUAGACUAUCGGAAACUAACAAAAUUGCAAGAAAAAUGCAACAUAUUUAUCGCAGAUACUACUGAUCGGACUGCUAUUUUAAAUGCUUUUUUUUUACUUUGCACGAAGUUUUAUUUGAAAAUUUUAUUUACCGACUAGAAUAAAAUUGGUCCUGAGUACGAUAUUUUUUUAUUAUGUAGCAUUCGUCACUUCCUUGAUGCUUGGAAUCUUCCUAAAAAACUACCUGAGCUGCCGAUCCUUCUUUGCACAGGAAUCGCGUUCGUACACAUUCGAGUGAAAACAAGAAUGGUUUGUUCGCAUUCGUUCGAAAGUAUGUGCUCGUCGAAUAGAUACUGACGUAAGAAAGCAUAAUGAUACAAAAUCAUCGAAAAAACAAGUCAAAAAACAAAUGAUAUCAAAGAUUUUUAAUUACAACUCCAAACUGUAACAGAACUGAUAGUAUAAAGAUGGAUGGGCGUUGUUUUUAUGCAUAUACGAUGUUUAAAAGUGUGAUUGAUUCGAACGUAAACGGGAAUACGAAUUUUUAUACUUUCGAACGUAUCGCAUACGCAAUAAACAAGAAUGAGGGUGUUUAUGCCUGAACGCAUAAUGCUGGUAAUAGGCAACAAAUCGAUGUUAUAGGAAUGUACCAAUACCAUCUAUUGAUGUCUUUUAAACAGAAUUUCUGUAAUUUGAAAGCUCGAUUUACUUCAAACUUGAUUUGUUUUACGAAAAUAAACAAUUAUUCAUUUAAGGGUUAGGGCGACGACACGACCAGAAACUCUGAAGAAAAAUCGGAUUAAAAAGUGUUCGUGAGCGAUUUACCACCAGUUACCAUAAAUAUAGCGACCCCUUGAAAAUGUCAAAAACUAACUAUUCGAGCAACACUGUUUAAGUUGCUAUUAAAUAGUUACCAAGGAGCACCAGAAUAAAUAAACAAACAGUUUGAAAUAGUUGUGGAAUAAUUCCACCGAUUUGAAUUUUUGUAUCUUUUUUCCUGGAAGAAAAAAAUGGCCCCAGUACAACAAAAAUGGGAGUUUACGGAAUUUAUUGAUAUAGUUCUGAUAUGGGAAUGGGUCAUCCGUAUUUUCAUGAGCAAUUAUAGUUUAAAUCGUAAGGAUGCACUCUAUUUAAUAAACCAACAAGAACGACAGGCGAUCGAAAACGGAAAAAUUGAAAUUCCAAAUUUUAGUGGAAAUCUGGCUUAAUUCGCUAAGUCUUCCUUGAUACAGAAGCAAAUGAAAAACUAUCGUAAUACAUGUCCACUGAAUACCAAACGAAAUUAAGAAUAAAUUGAAGUUCAAAUCACUUUCGACUUCACGAAGACGCUAGUGUUAAUUUGGUGAUAUUCUUGAAUUAUUUACAAAAUAUGUAUAUUUUUAUGCUUUAAUAACUUUUACUUUUUAAUAAAAAUUAAAGAUACAAAUUAAAUCAAAAUUGAGCAAAAAUGACUCAAAACUUUCUGAAAGAAUAAACUUAAUACCUGCCAGCGGGCCAACUACACUCAGUGGUUUCGUUUUAAGUGAGACUCUUGUUUUUGUUUACAUUGCAUAUGUAGUUACCAAGGCUACUGGUAACUGUUUUUCAAAAUCAAUAAUUUACCAACUUGUGUUGCCAGUUCCAACAUUUUUUCAAGCGAUUUCGUUUUGACAUUACCAGUUACUGAGGGGUAGUUAAAUUUGCGAUACAGUUUUGAUAGUCGAGUGGCAGGUCGUGUCGUCGGUUAGGGUCUUGAGUGUUGCGUUUGAUGAAUGCUGUAUUGUAUAGGCUUUUGAUAAUUUGAUUUUGUACAGUGUAAAUAUUAGUCAGCAUGCGUACACUCAGAAAAAUCCUCACUUCAAAGCUACGUGAAAACGUAUGUGUUUUUUAUCCAUAGAACUUCUCUUGUAAUACUUAUGUGAAGUAUAGAUAGCACAGAAUGAACUCAUGAACUCUUAGUCACGUAAUAUCUACGUCACAUUUUUCGUAGAUUCUAUAGAAUACUUUUG
Malaya genurostris is the source of this 2349-nucleotide long non-coding RNA. RefSeq lists it as uncharacterized. The transcript is spliced from 3 exons. The record is from RefSeq and is a predicted model, not a curated record. Lineage: Eukaryota; Metazoa; Arthropoda; Insecta; Diptera; Culicidae.